CGCCGAACUGAGGGAUGUCGAUGGUUCUAAUUAGGACUCGGGUAGCCCCCCCCCCCCACGCCUCUACGAGAAUUUGUGAUAUUUUCAACCAAUUUACAAAAUACUAUGAAUCUCUUAACUUUGCAAUCGCUUAGAGGCUAAAUAAACCAAUUAAACAAA
Drosophila persimilis is the source of this 159-nucleotide long non-coding RNA. RefSeq lists it as uncharacterized. The record is from RefSeq and is a predicted model, not a curated record. The transcript is spliced from 2 exons. Lineage: Eukaryota; Metazoa; Arthropoda; Insecta; Diptera; Drosophilidae.